Molecule: ribosomal RNA, 1363 nt
Filed under: Pseudomonas fluorescens
Lineage: Bacteria; Pseudomonadati; Pseudomonadota; Gammaproteobacteria; Pseudomonadales; Pseudomonadaceae
Also listed under: 2 other names
Description: partial 23S ribosomal RNA
Rfam family: Bacterial large subunit ribosomal RNA
Source: RNAcentral
UAACGAAGUGGUUGAUGCCAUGCUUCCAAGAAAAGCUUCUAAGCUUCAGGUAACCAGGAACCGUACCCCAAACCGACACAGGUGGUUGGGUAGAGAAUACCAAGGCGCUUGAGAGAACUCGGGUGAAGGAACUAGGCAAAAUGGCACCGUAACUUCGGGAGAAGGUGCGCCGGUGAGGGUGAAGGACUUGCUCCGUAAGCUCAUGCCGGUCGAAGAUACCAGGCCGCUGCGACUGUUUAUUAAAAACACAGCACUCUGCAAACACGAAAGUGGACGUAUAGGGUGUGACGCCUGCCCGGUGCCGGAAGGUUAAUUGAUGGGGUUAGCUAACGCGAAGCUCUUGAUCGAAGCCCCGGUAAACGGCGGCCGUAACUAUAACGGUCCUAAGGUAGCGAAAUUCCUUGUCGGGUAAGUUCCGACCUGCACGAAUGGCGUAACGAUGGCGGCGCUGUCUCCACCCGAGACUCAGUGAAAUUGAAAUCGCUGUGAAGAUGCAGUGUAUCCGCGGCUAGACGGAAAGACCCCGUGAACCUUUACUAUAGCUUUGCACUGGACUUUGAAUUUGCUUGUGUAGGAUAGGUGGGAGGCUUUGAAGCGUGGACGCCAGUCUGCGUGGAGCCAACCUUGAAAUACCACCCUGGCAACUUUGAGGUUCUAACUCAGGUCCGUUAUCCGGAUCGAGGACAGUGUAUGGUGGGUAGUUUGACUGGGGCGGUCUCCUCCUAAAGAGUAACGGAGGAGUACGAAGGUGCGCUCAGACCGGUCGGAAAUCGGUCGUAGAGUAUAAAGGCAAAAGCGCGCUUGACUGCGAGACAGACACGUCGAGCAGGUACGAAAGUAGGUCUUAGUGAUCCGGUGGUUCUGUAUGGAAGGGCCAUCGCUCAACGGAUAAAAGGUACUCCGGGGAUAACAGGCUGAUACCGCCCAAGAGUUCAUAUCGACGGCGGUGUUUGGCACCUCGAUGUCGGCUCAUCACAUCCUGGGGCUGAAGCCGGUCCCAAGGGUAUGGCUGUUCGCCAUUUAAAGUGGUACGCGAGCUGGGUUUAGAACGUCGUGAGACAGUUCGGUCCCUAUCUGCCGUGGACGUUUGAGAUUUGAGAGGGGCUGCUCCUAGUACGAGAGGACCGGAGUGGACGAACCUCUGGUGUUCCGGUUGUCACGCCAGUGGCAUUGCCGGGUAGCUAUGUUCGGAAUAGAUAACCGCUGAAAGCAUCUAAGCGGGAAACUAGCCUCAAGAUGAGAUCUCACUGGAACCUUGAGUUCCCUGAAGGGCCGUCGAAGACUACGACGUUGAUAGGUUGGGUGUGUAAGCGCUGUGAGGCGUUGAGCUAACCAAUACUAAUUGCCCGUGAGGCUUGACCAU